UAGCCAGUCAGCCGCCGCCUCCUCCUCCAAGAAAAAAAAUUAGGGUUCGUGCCUCUCGCCGGCGCCGACACAGGUCCGCCUCAUCUUCGGUGGCGCGGUGGAUCCUGGCAAGGGCCGGCGGGAGGGCUAUGUUUUUUAGUCAUUUUUUUCAAUCUUGUUAGGGUUUGUGUCCUGCUCAGGAAGGCGAGACGGCGGAGGCUCUCUGAAGAUGGAAUAAAGGUCUCCCCGCCCAGCCCCCGUUCCGGCGGUGCGUCUAGCAUCGUUGGUGGGCGUGUGGAGGUAUGUCUCCGGCAGAUCUAUCUUUGAUGGAUUUGCUCGGAUCUCGUCAUCGUUCGUCUACUUUCGUGUGUCUUCGGUUUGGAUCCUUCCAUUCUACGUUAUUUUUCAUCGGCGGCGGUUGCUGUUCUGGGUGCUGGUCCUAUGGGGCCUUAGCACGACGACUUCCCGACCGUCUACUAAAACAAGUUGUGCCCGACUCCGACGAUGGAGGGGCGAUGACGGUGGCACUCCUUCGGCUCGCUUCAGUGCUUGUAGUCGUCGCUUGGUGGUCUACAGAUCUAGAUGUAAUUUUUAUUUUUGGUGUUCGUUGUACUGCC
Molecule: ribosomal RNA, 596 nt
Filed under: Triticum aestivum (bread wheat)
Lineage: Eukaryota; Viridiplantae; Streptophyta; Magnoliopsida; Poales; Poaceae
Description: partial small subunit ribosomal RNA
Source: RNAcentral